Claviceps cyperi is the source of this 96-nucleotide non-coding RNA. The record is from the annotation of a GenBank genome assembly. NCBI's taxonomy places the organism in Eukaryota, Fungi, Ascomycota, Sordariomycetes, Hypocreales, Clavicipitaceae.
GGGCGAAUGGUUUAGUGGUAUAAUACUCCCUUAGCAGCUGUUCGACGGCCGACGGGAUCAUGGGAGUGGUCCGGGGUUCGAUUCCCCGUUUGUCCA